AACUCACAAGUGGCCAGGCCAGCAUUGGAAGCCAGCUCUGCCUGCCCGCACAGGCCUGGACGCCCAGCCACAACCUGGUGUCCCCUCUGCCCAGCUCUCGCCUUGGCUCUCAAUCAUUAAUGAAGAUGUGAAGUGAGACACCAAUCCUCACAGCCCCCACCACGUGCUCCCUCCCAUGCCUGGCGCUGCUGGAGUCAUUAUCCUUCCUGGUGUGACAGGGUCAGAACCAAACCAAUUUGCAUCAGUCUUUGGUGAUGUUGUGAAGCGUCGCCUGCCCUGCAAUCCUGCUGCUGUAACAACUGCUUCAGCUGUCUGUUCUGGAGUGCUCUUCGCUCCUUUGGAAGACUGAUCAGAUCUGGCCACCCCAGUUCUGGCUGAAAGCCCUAGAGCGACCGCAAUGGUAGGGCAGGAUUCAGGGCUACACAUGGCUGACAUUGUUCCUUCUUCGUUUUGCUCUUCUGAGCUGGACAGAAAGCAGUCCCUCUUUGGAAAACAGGAUGGACAAGUGCAUACAUUAGUGGAGGACGCAGCAGAUGUGGCAGGCAUAGAAUUUUACUCAUUGCUCCAUCUAUUUCUAUCAAGGAAAAUGGGGAGUGCUCCCAAUUUCC
RNAcentral lists this long non-coding RNA (608 nucleotides) under Homo sapiens (human). RNAcentral's name for it is "non-protein coding lnc-ABCD4-1:2". The record is from RNAcentral. Lineage: Eukaryota; Metazoa; Chordata; Mammalia; Primates; Hominidae.